GGCGAACGCUGGCGGCGUGCUUAACACAUGCAAGUCGAACGCUGAAGCUCAGCUUUUGUUGGGUGGAUGAGUGGCGAACGGGUGAGUAACACGUGAGUAACCUGCCUCCUUCUUUGGGAUAACGCCCGGAAACGGGUGCUAAUACUGGAUAUUCACUGGUCUUCGCAUGGGGGUUGGUGGAAAGGGUUUUUCUGGUGGGGGAUGGGCUCGCGGCCUAUCAGCUUGUUGGUGGGGUGAUGGCCUACCAAGGCUUUGACGGGUAGCCGGCCUGAGAGGGUGACCGGUCACAGUGGGACUGAGAUACGGCCCAGACUCCUACGGGAGGCAGCAGUGGGGAAUAUUGCACAAUGGGCGCAAGCCUGAUGCAGCGACGCCGCGUGAGGGAUGGAGGCCUUCGGGUUGUGAACCUCUUUCGCUCAUGGUCAAGCCGCAACAAUGGUUGUGGUGAGGGUAGUGGGUAAAGAAGCGCCGGCUAACUACGUG
This 483-nucleotide ribosomal RNA is filed under the name uncultured bacterium. Its description in RNAcentral is "partial 16S ribosomal RNA". It matches the Rfam family "Bacterial small subunit ribosomal RNA", at positions 28 to 507 of the family's 1533-position model. The record is from RNAcentral.